GUCCUCGUAGCUCAGUCGGAAGAACACCCGACUAUGAUGCGGUAGGAUUCGGGUUCGAACCCAGAUGAAGGGUG
This is a non-coding RNA of Henosepilachna vigintioctopunctata, 74 nucleotides long. The record is from the annotation of a GenBank genome assembly. Lineage: Eukaryota; Metazoa; Arthropoda; Insecta; Coleoptera; Coccinellidae.